This 301-nucleotide ribosomal RNA is filed under the name uncultured bacterium. Its description in RNAcentral is "partial 16S ribosomal RNA". It matches the Rfam family "Bacterial small subunit ribosomal RNA", at positions 509 to 807 of the family's 1533-position model. The record is from RNAcentral.
CAGCCGCCGCGGUAAUACGUAGGGUCCGAGCGUUGUCCGGAAUUACUGGGCGUAAAGAGCUCGUAGGUGGUUUGUCGCGUUGUUCGUGAAAACUCACAGCUUAACUGUGGGCGUGCGGGCGAUACGGGCAGACUAGAGUACUGCAGGGGAGACUGGAAUUCCUGGUGUAGCGGUGGAAUGCGCAGAUAUCAGGAGGAACACCGGUGGCGAAGGCGGGUCUCUGGGCAGUAACUGACGCUGAGGAGCGAAAGCGUGGGGAGCGAACAGGAUUAGAUACCCCUGUAGUCCCUGUCUCUUAUAC